UACGGAGGGUGCGAGCGUUGUCCGGAAUCACUGGGCGUAAAGGGCGUGUAGGUGGUUUCGUAAGUCUGGCGUGAAAUUUCUCGGCUUAACCGAGGCAGGUCGUCGGAUACUGCGGAACUUGAGGACGGUAGAGGCGUGUGGAAUUCCGGGUGUAGUGGUGAAAUGCGUAGAGAUCCGGAGGAACACCAGUGGCGAAGGCGACACGCUGGGCCGUACCUGACACUGAUGCGCGACAGCAUGGGGAGCAAACAGG
RNAcentral lists this ribosomal RNA (253 nucleotides) under uncultured bacterium. Its description in RNAcentral is "partial 16S ribosomal RNA". It matches the Rfam family "Bacterial small subunit ribosomal RNA", at positions 524 to 776 of the family's 1533-position model. The record is from RNAcentral.